Eimeria maxima is the source of this 72-nucleotide non-coding RNA. Lineage: Eukaryota; Apicomplexa; Conoidasida; Eucoccidiorida; Eimeriidae. The record is from Rfam.
GGGGAUGUAAUGACAGUGGUAGAAUAAUUCUUUUGCAAAGAAAAAAUAGCGGUUCGAUUCCGCUUAUCUCCA